GACGAACGCUGGCGGCGUGCUUAACACAUGCAAGUCGAACGCUGAAGCUCAGCUUUUGUUGGGUGGAUGAGUGGCGAACGGGUGAGUAACACGUGAGUAACCUGCCCCCUUCUUUGGGAUAACGCCCGGAAACGGGUGCUAAUACUGGAUAUUCACUGGUCUUCGCAUGGGGGUUGGUGGAAAGGGUUUUUCUGGUGGGGGAUGGGCUCGCGGCCUAUCAGCUUGUUGGUGGGGUGAUGGCCUACCAAGGCUUUGACGGGUAGCCGGCCUGGGAGGGUGACCGGUCACAUUGGGAGUGAGAUACGGUCCAGACUGCUACGGGAGGCAGCAGUGGGGAAUAUUGCGCAAUGGGGGCAAGCCUGAUGCAGCGGCGCCGCGUGAGGGAUGGAGGCCUUCGGGUUGUGAACCUCUUUCGCUCAUAAUCAAGUCGCAACAAUGGUUGUGGUGAGGGUAGUGGGUAAAGAAGCGCCGGCUAACUACGUG
RNAcentral lists this ribosomal RNA (483 nucleotides) under uncultured bacterium. RNAcentral describes it as "partial 16S ribosomal RNA". It matches the Rfam family "Bacterial small subunit ribosomal RNA", at positions 28 to 507 of the family's 1533-position model. The record is from RNAcentral.